RNAcentral lists this ribosomal RNA (372 nucleotides) under uncultured organism. Its description in RNAcentral is "partial 16S ribosomal RNA". It matches the Rfam family "Bacterial small subunit ribosomal RNA", at positions 527 to 896 of the family's 1533-position model. The record is from RNAcentral.
GUAGGUGGCAAGCGUUGUCCGGAAUUAUUGGGCGUAAAGCGCGCGCAGGCGGUUCUUUAAGUCUGAUGUGAAAGCCCACGGGCUCAACCGUGGUGGGUCAUUGGAAACUGGAGAACUUGAGUACAGAGGAGGAAAGCGGAAUUCCACGUGUAGCGGUGAAAUGCGUAGAGAUGUGGAGGAACACCAGUGGCGAAGGCGGCUUUCUGGUCUGUAACUGACGCUGAGGCGCGAAAGCGUGGGGAGCAAACAGGAUUAGAUACCCUGGUAGUCCACGCCGUAAACGAUGAGUGCUAAGUGUUAGGGGGUUUCCGCCCCUUAGUGCUGCAGCUAACGCAUUAAGCACUCCGCCUGGGGAGUACGGCCGCAAGGCUG